CACUCGAAGGCGGAGGGGGGCAACCCUCUCGUCUACAGGUGUGAACCCCAAUGUACAGGCACUGAGCCGGGGGGCAAUGAGUAUGCCCACACCUGCUCUGCGCCUCUCACCGUGGGCAACACCUGAGUUGAAGAGAAUCCAACCCCUCUCGAGAGAACUGGUACCAAAAUCCAGGCUGUGUGUGGAGGUAAGUCCGACUAUAUCCAGUCUGAACUUUUCUACCUCGCACACCAGCUCGGGCUCCUUCCCUGCAAGAGAGGUGACAUUCCAUGUCCCAAGAGCUAGCUUCUGCAGCCGAGGAUCGGACCGCCAGGGUCCCCGCCUUUGGCUGCCGCCCAGCUCACAUUGCACCCGACCCCUUUGGCCCCUCUCAUGGGUGGUGAGCCCAUGGGAAGGGGGACCCACGUUGCCUCUUCGUGCUGUGCCCGGCCGGGCCCCAUGGGUGUAGGCCCGGCCACCAGGCGCUUGCCAACGAGCCCCACCUCCAGGCCUGGCUCCAGAGGGGGGCCCCGAUGACCCGCGUCCGGGCAAGGGAAACCUAGAUCCAUUUAUUGCCAUCAUCAUUGGGGUCUUUGAGCCGUGCUUUGUCUGGCCCCUCACCUAGAACCUGUUUGCGAUGGGUGACCCUGCCAGGGGCAUAAAGCCCCAGACAACUUAGCUUCUAGGAUCAUUGGGACACACAAACCCCUCCACCACGGUAAGGUGACGACUCACUAAUACUAUUCUGAGCAGUCUCAUUAAUUUAGAGGGUGCGUUCUAUCCUUUAACAUAGUUAUUAAUGUGGAUGUCCUCCCUGAGUUUAACAUUACGAUGGUGAGAAGACAGUAAAUGUAAUUGACUGUCAGGAUGUCCUUGAUUCUUCCUGAUGGUGUGAAGCUGAUGGAGUGAAGGGGGCUAAUAUGUGUGGCAGGCCUACUAGUGUCACGUUAGGCACGAAGCAGGAAAAAGGAACCGCUUUGUACGUAACGGAGAAAACGAAAACAAGCGGCUCCCCGAAAUGGCAGACACCGACAAGGACUUUGUAAAACAAUAUUUAUUAUAAACAAAAAUGCCGCCUAAUAAACAACAGAAAACGCUGGUCACAGAACGAUAGCCAGGAAAUAAGGAACGCGACAACAGAAAGAGCUGGUAAAAACGAGCACCAGGAAAUAAGGAAAUGCGACAACAGAAAACGCUUGCAAAACAACGGCAAGGAAAAUAUGUUAAACGAGUACUGAUUCACGUACGCUAAGAUAAUGCUUCCCGUGGGACGACGAUAAUAUAACCAACCGUGAA
This is a long non-coding RNA of Hippocampus zosterae (dwarf seahorse), 1275 nucleotides long. RefSeq lists it as uncharacterized. The transcript has 2 exons. The record is from RefSeq and is a predicted model, not a curated record. Lineage: Eukaryota; Metazoa; Chordata; Actinopteri; Syngnathiformes; Syngnathidae.